ACGUAAUUAGCCGUCGCUUAUUCCUGGGGUACCGUCAGAACUUCUUCCCCCAGAAAAGGUGUUUACGACCCGAAAGCCUUCAUCCACCACGCAGUGUUGCUCCGUCAGACUUUCGUCCAUUGCGGAAGAUUCU
This 133-nucleotide ribosomal RNA is filed under the name uncultured bacterium. RNAcentral's name for it is "partial 16S ribosomal RNA". The record is from RNAcentral.